UACGCAGGGGGCUAGCGUUGCUCGGAAUCACUGGGCGUAAAGCGCACGUAGGCGGAUCUUUAAGUCAGGGGUGAAAUCCUGGAGCUCAACUCCAGAACUGCCUUUGAUACUGGAGAUCUCGAGUCCGGAAGAGGUGAGUGGAACUCCGAGUGUAGAGGUGAAAUUCGUAGAUAUUCGGAAGAACACCAGUGGCGAAGGCGGCUCACUGGUCCGGUACUGACGCUGAGGUGCGAAAGCGUGGGGAGCAAACAGG
RNAcentral lists this ribosomal RNA (253 nucleotides) under uncultured bacterium. RNAcentral describes it as "partial 16S ribosomal RNA". It matches the Rfam family "Bacterial small subunit ribosomal RNA", at positions 524 to 776 of the family's 1533-position model. The record is from RNAcentral.